UGGCGGACGGGUGAGUAACGCGUGGGUAACCUGCCUCACACUGGGGGACAACAGUUAGAAAUGACUGCUAAUACCGCAUAAGCGCACAGGACCGCAUGGUCUGGUGUGAAAAACUCCGGUGGUGUGAGAUGGACCCGCGUUUGAUUAGCUAGUUGGUGGGGUAACGGCCUACCAGGGCGACGAUCAAUAGCCGACCUGAGAGGGUGACCGGCCACAUUGGGACUGAGACACGGCCCAA
Molecule: ribosomal RNA, 238 nt
Filed under: uncultured bacterium
Lineage: Bacteria
Description: partial 16S ribosomal RNA
Rfam family: Bacterial small subunit ribosomal RNA
Source: RNAcentral